This 468-nucleotide ribosomal RNA is filed under the name uncultured bacterium. Its description in RNAcentral is "partial 16S ribosomal RNA". It matches the Rfam family "Bacterial small subunit ribosomal RNA", at positions 28 to 507 of the family's 1533-position model. The record is from RNAcentral.
GACGAACGCUGGCGGCGUGCUUAACACAUGCAAGUCGAACGGAAAGGCCCUGCUUUUGUGGGGUGCUCGAGUGGCGAACGGGUGAGUAACACGUGAGUAACCUGCCCUUGACUUUGGGGUAACUUCAGGAAACUGGGGCUAAUACCGGAUAGGAGCUCCUGCUGCAUGGUGGGGGUUGGAAAGUUUCGGCGGUUGGGGAUGGACUCGCGGCUUAUCAGCUUGUUGGUGGGGUAGUGGCUUACCAAGGCUUUGACGGGUAGCCGGCCUGAGAGGGUGACCGGCCACAUUGGGACUGAGAGACGGCCCAGACUCCUACGGGAGGCAGCAGUGGGGAAUAUUGCACAAUGGGCGGAAGCCUGAUGCAGAAACGCCGCGUGCGGGAUGACGGCCUUCGGGUUGUAAACCGCUUUCGCCUGUGACGAAGCGUGAGUGACGGUAAUGGGUAAAGAAGCACCGGCUAACUACGUG